This 301-nucleotide ribosomal RNA is filed under the name uncultured bacterium. Its description in RNAcentral is "partial 16S ribosomal RNA". It matches the Rfam family "Bacterial small subunit ribosomal RNA", at positions 509 to 809 of the family's 1533-position model. The record is from RNAcentral.
CAGUAGCCACGGUAAUACGUAGGGUGCAAGCGUUAAUCGGAAUUACUGGGCGUAAAGCGUGCGCAGGCGGUUAUAUAAGACAGAUGUGAAAUCCCCGGGCUCAACCUGGGAACUGCAUUUGUGACUGUAUAGCUAGAGUACGGCAGAGGGGGAUGGAAUUCCGCGUGUAGCAGUGAAAUGCGUAGAUAUGCGGAGGAACACCGAUGGCGAAGGCAAUCCCCUGGGCCUGUACUGACGCUCAUGCACGAAAGCGUGGGGAGCAAACAGGAUUAGAUACCCGCGUAGUCCCUGUCUCUUAUAA